Molecule: ribosomal RNA, 490 nt
Filed under: uncultured bacterium
Lineage: Bacteria
Description: partial 16S ribosomal RNA
Rfam family: Bacterial small subunit ribosomal RNA
Source: RNAcentral
AUUGAACGCUGGCGGCAUGCCUUACACAUGCAAGUCGAACGGCAGCAUGAUCUAGCUUGCUAGAUUGAUGGCGAGUGGCGAACGGGUGAGUAAUACAUCGGAACGUGCCCUGUAGUGGGGGAUAACUAGUCGAAAGAUUAGCUAAUACCGCAUACGACCUGAGGGUGAAAGUGGGGGACCUCAAGGCCUCAUGCUAUAGGAGCGGCCGAUGUCUGAUUAGCUAGUUGGUGAGGUAAAGGCUCACCAAGGCGACGAUCAGUAGCUGGUCUGAGAGGACGAUCAGCCACACUGGGACUGAGACACGGCCCAGACUCCUACGGGAGGCAGCAGUGGGGAAUUUUGGACAAUGGGCGAAAGCCUGAUCCAGCAAUGCCGCGUGUGUGAAGAAGGCCUUCGGGUUGUAAAGCACUUUUGUCCGGAAAGAAAUGGCUCUGGUUAAUACCUGGGGUCGAUGACGGUACCGGAAGAAUAAGGACCGGCUAACUACGUG